AUUGAACGCUGGCGGCAGGCCUAACACAUGCAAGUCGAACGGUAGCACAGAGAGCUUGCUCUCGGGUGACGAGUGGCGGACGGGUGAGUAACGUCUGGGAAACUGCCCGAUGAAGGGGGAUAACUACUGGAAACGGUAGCUAAUACCGCAUAACGUCGCAAGACCAAAGUGGGGGACCUUCGGGCCUCACACCAUCGGAUGUGCCCAGAUGGGAUUAGCUAGUAGGUGGGGUAAUGGCUCACCUAGGCGACGAUCCCUAGCUGGUCUGAGAGGAUGACCAGCCACACUGGAACUGAGACACGGUCCAGACUCCUACGGGAGGCAGCAGUGGGGAAUAUUGCACAAUGGGCGCAAGCCUGAUGCAGCCAUGCCGCGUGUAUGAAGAAGGCCUUCGGGUUGUAAAGUACUUUCAGCGGGGAGGAAGGCGGUGAAGUUAAUAGCUUCACCGAUUGACGUUACCCGCAGAAGAAGCACCGGCUAACUCCGUGCCAGCCGCCGCCGUAA
This 504-nucleotide ribosomal RNA is filed under the name uncultured bacterium. RNAcentral describes it as "partial 16S ribosomal RNA". It matches the Rfam family "Bacterial small subunit ribosomal RNA", at positions 30 to 523 of the family's 1533-position model. The record is from RNAcentral.